CAGCCGCCGCGGUAAUACGUAGGUGGCAAGCGUUGUCCGGAUUUAUUGGGCGUAAAGCGAGCGCAGGCGGUUAGAUAAGUCUGAAGUUAAAGACUGUGGCUUAACCAUAGUAUGCUUUGGAAACUGUUUAACUUGAGUGCAGAAGGGGAGAGUGGAAUUCCAUGUGUAGCGGUGAAAUGCGUAGAUAUAUGGAGGAACACCGGUGGCGAAAGCGGCUCUCUGGUCUGUAACUGACGCUGAGGCUCGAAAGCGUGGGGAGCAAACAGGAUUAGAUACCCCUGUAGUCCCUGUCUCUUAUACA
RNAcentral lists this ribosomal RNA (301 nucleotides) under uncultured bacterium. RNAcentral's name for it is "partial 16S ribosomal RNA". It matches the Rfam family "Bacterial small subunit ribosomal RNA", at positions 509 to 808 of the family's 1533-position model. The record is from RNAcentral.